GCAAACUUGGUCAUUUAGAGGAAGUAAAAGUCGUAACAAGGUCUCCGUUGGUGAACCAGCGGAGGGAUCAUUACUGAGUUACCAAAACUCCAAACCUUUGUGAACAUACCAUCGUUGCUUCGGCGGGCGGCUCCCGGGGGAGCCUUCAGGCCAUUGCGGUGCCCGCCGAAAGCCAAAAACUCUUUUUAUUACUAUGCAUUUUCUGAGUGGACAUAUCAAACAAGUAAAAACUUUCAACAACGGAUCUCUUGGUUCUGGCAUCGAUGAAGAACGCAGC
Molecule: unclassified non-coding RNA, 277 nt
Filed under: uncultured fungus
Lineage: Eukaryota; Fungi
Description: partial contains small subunit ribosomal RNA, internal transcribed spacer 1, and 5.8S ribosomal RNA
Rfam family: Eukaryotic small subunit ribosomal RNA (bases 1-73)
Source: RNAcentral